AUAGCUCGCCGAAAGGCGAAUUAAUACCGCAUGUGCCCCGAAGCAAUUCGGGGUAAAGCCGGGGCAACCUGGCGCUUUUAGAUGAGCUCGCGGCCUAUCAGCUUGUUGGUAAGGUAACGGCUUACCAAGGCUUCGACGGGUAGCUGGUCUGAGAGGACGACCAGCCACACUGGAACUGAGACACGGUCCAGACACCUACGGGUGGCAGCAGUCGAGAAUUUUUCUCAAUGGGGGAAACCCUGAAGGAGCGACGCCGCGUGGAGGAUGAAGGCUUUCGGGUUGUAAACUCCUGUCAUUUGGGAACAAUACCUUACGUUAACUGCGUGGAGGUUUGAUAGUACCAGAAGAGGAAGAGACGGCUAACUCUGUGCCAGCAGCCGCGGUAAUACAGAGGUCUCGAGCGUUGUUCGGAUUCAUUGGGCGUAAAGGGCGCGUAGGCUGCGGGGCAAGUCGGGUGUGAAAUCUCAGAGCUCAACUCUGAAACUGCACUCGAUACUGCUUUGCUAGAGGACUGGAGAGGAGAUUGGAAUUCACGGUGUAGCA
RNAcentral lists this ribosomal RNA (543 nucleotides) under uncultured Verrucomicrobiota bacterium. RNAcentral describes it as "bacterial SSU rRNA". It matches the Rfam family "Bacterial small subunit ribosomal RNA", at positions 143 to 680 of the family's 1533-position model. Lineage: Bacteria; Pseudomonadati; Verrucomicrobiota. The record is from RNAcentral.